RNAcentral lists this ribosomal RNA (216 nucleotides) under uncultured bacterium. RNAcentral describes it as "partial 16S ribosomal RNA". It matches the Rfam family "Bacterial small subunit ribosomal RNA", at positions 138 to 353 of the family's 1533-position model. The record is from RNAcentral.
CGGGGAUAGCCUUUCGAAAGAAAGAUUAAUACCCGAUAGCAUAAUGAUUCCGCAUGGUUUCAUUAUUAAAGGAUUCCGGUAAAGGAUGGGGAUGCGUUCCAUUAGGUUGUUGGUGGGGUAACGGCCCACCAAGCCUUCGAUGGAUAGGGGUUCUGAGAGGAAGGUCCCCCACAUUGGAACUGAGACACGGUCCAAACUCCUACGGGAGGCAGCAUG